Non-coding RNA from Marasmius tenuissimus, 104 nucleotides. The record is from the annotation of a GenBank genome assembly. Lineage: Eukaryota; Fungi; Basidiomycota; Agaricomycetes; Agaricales; Marasmiaceae.
GUCUUGGUCGAUUAGUGGUUAAAUCAUCUCGUUGUGGUGGUGUUUGCAAUCUGCUGGUCUUACAUACAACCGAGAAGCCGAGGGCUCGACUCCCUCCCGAGACA